GGGCGCUUAGCUCAGUGGCAGAGCGACUCGUUUACACCGAGUAGGCCGUGGGUUCGAUCCCCUCAGCGCCCACAA
RNAcentral lists this transfer RNA (75 nucleotides) under Candidatus Harrisonbacteria bacterium CG10_big_fil_rev_8_21_14_0_10_40_38. RNAcentral's name for it is "tRNA-Val". It matches the Rfam family "tRNA". From Rfam's summary of the family: Transfer RNA (tRNA) molecules are approximately 80 nucleotides in length. Their secondary structure includes four short double-helical elements and three loops (D, anti-codon, and T loops). The record is from RNAcentral. Lineage: Bacteria; Candidatus Harrisoniibacteriota.